This is a non-coding RNA of Anolis sagrei ordinatus, 1283 nucleotides long. Lineage: Eukaryota; Metazoa; Chordata; Lepidosauria; Squamata; Anolidae. The record is from the annotation of a RefSeq genome assembly.
AUGGAACCCCUUGAAGGAUCUGAGAUGUUCAUGGAACCCAUUGAAGGAUCUGAAAUAUUUGUGGAACACCUUGAAGGAUCUGAGAUGUCUAUGGAACCCCUUGAAAGAUUCUGUGGCAAAGGGAAGUUCUUCAUCUCAACGAAACCCAAGAGUUUGCGAGCUACUGUCCAUCUAUUCCCUUACGGGAUAGACGAUGGUGGUCUCCGUGUUCCUAUCUAUGCUGACCUAUCUAUGCUGAGGAGGGUUGGGAGGUUUUUGUCCUGCUAUGUGUCACUGUGGUACAUCUUUGGAGGUGGAACCCAUCUGACUAUCACUGGCCAGCCAGCUGUCCCUCCUUCGGUGUCUCUCUUCCCUCCAUCCCAGGAAGAGCUCCAGAGCAAGAACAAAGCCACCUUGGCCUGUCUGAUGGAUGGCUUUCACCCGGGUGUUGUCCAGGUUGAGUGGCUGGGUGAUGGCCGCACCAUCUCUACUGGUGUGGAGACCACCAAGCCUGUCAAACAAGGUGACAAGUAUAUCGCCAGCAGUUACCUGACUCUCAAUCGUUCUGAAUGGGAAGCCAAUGAGAGUUACACCUGCAAGGUGACCCAUGAAAGCAAGACCAUUGAGAAGGUGGUCAGCCGGUCGGCAUGUUCUGUAGGUAUCCAUGACCUAUCUAUGCCAAGGAGGGUUGGGAGGUUUUUGUCCUGCAAUGUGUCACUGUGGUACGUCUUUGGAGGUGGAACCCAUUUGACCGUCACUGGUCAACCAGCUGUCCCUCCUUCGGUGUCUCUCUUCCCUCCAUCCCAGGAAGAGCUCAAGAGCAAGAACAAAGCCACCUUGGCCUGUCUGAUGGAUGGCUUUCACCCGGGUGUUGUCCAGGUUGAAUGGCUGGGUGAUGGCCUCACCAUCUCUUCUGGUGUGGAGACCACCAAGCCUGUCAAACAGGGUGAAAAGUAUAUUGCCAGCAGCUACCUGACUCUCAGUCGGUCUGAAUGGGAAGCUAAUGAGAGCUACACCUGCAAGGUGACCCAUGAAAGCAAGACCAUUGAGAAGGUGGUCAGCCGAUCAGCAUGUUCCUAAAUGAUGGAUGUCCCAUUGGUGGCUUCCAUGUGUCCAUCUACCACCAAAGGGCCAGCUACCUUUUCUGAUUACUACUUAAUGUCAGCUUAAUUGAUAAAGCUUCACAUUUUCUCCUAUGUCAAUUCCACUUUCUCUCCUGUCAGCAUGCCUCUACCCCCAAGAAAUCCAUGUCUAUCUGUCUUUCUUAUGAUAGCACAUUAAUAAAAGUUGUUACAUUUCAUUGA